RNAcentral lists this long non-coding RNA (40021 nucleotides) under Ananas comosus (pineapple). RNAcentral describes it as "long non-coding RNA (ACOM_LNC025310)". The record is from RNAcentral. Lineage: Eukaryota; Viridiplantae; Streptophyta; Magnoliopsida; Poales; Bromeliaceae.
UAAAAAAUAUUUGUAAAAGUUUGACAUCAUUUUAAAAUUUUGACGUAAAUUUUUAAUACUUAAUUUUCGGUUUGAAUUUAAACUAAUAUAUUAUAAAGAUAAAAUUGACAUAUUAAUUUGAUUACGUUUCUGAUACCAAUCUGAACCAAAUACCGAUGAUGAGAAUAAUUCAUUCCGAUUCCGAUUCAACCAAACAGAAUGAAAUAAUAAAUCAUUCCGAUCCCGACAUCAAUUCCGACUUUGUAAUCGCAGCAUUUAGAGGAAGUUUGUUUGUAUAAGAAAGAAUAAAAAAGAGAGUUUUGGUGGAGAACAAAUUUUAGUGGGACAAUAGUGAUAGAUGCCCCCCUAUCAUCUCCUAAAUAUAUAAUAGUCACUGAAUCAAUACUCAGUGUUGCUUUCAAGUUCUUGUCAAGUACCACCUAACAGUAGAGAUGCUGGCUACAUCGCGAUGGGGAUUGCACCCCAUUAUGAAAUUUAUCAGUAGAGCAGAUUAAAAUGACAACAUAUCAUUUAUAUCAUCUUUACUUUUAAUCUUUUAUUGAUUAAUAAAGAAUAUAAGAUUAAAAAAUCGAUCACACUGAGUUGUAGAUAAGAUGCUGACGAAACAAGAGGGGCCUAAGAAUAAGACCAAACCUUAAAAAAGCAAUCUGAGUCGCAUCCAUCGAUCGAUCGUCGUUCACGGGAACGUGCAUGAUCUUUAUCUCCAAGCAAUUAAUAAAGAAAGGAAUUAAUUAAUUAAUGGCCAAAAAGAAAGAUUAAGAACUAAGAGAUGUAUGUAAAUAAGUAGCUCAUCUUGUCCUCAAUUUUCUUUUCUUAAAGACCUUUGUCAUAUACAGCAGUUUCUUUUUCUUUUCUUUUCUUUUCUUUUUUUUUUUUUCUUUUUUUUUUGAGAGAGAGAGAGAGAGAGAAGAUUAUCCUUGCAACCUCUUUAAUUUCUUUUUUUUUUUUUUGUAUUCAUGUAUUUGGUCGCCUAUUAUAUGUUGUUUGAAAAAUAAAGGAAAAACUUCAAAAACCCUCCCUGUGGUUUCGUAGUUUCUCACUUUGCCCCCUUGUGGUUUAAAGUGUAUCAAUUUGCCCUCCUGUGAUUUCGUUUUUAUCAUUUCGAUAGUUUUUUCGUUAAUAUUUCGUUAAAUUAUAUACAAAAAACUUCAGAUACCUAUUUAUAUUUAUCAAAUAUUCACUUUAGUACUCUUUAAUUUUAACUUUAUUACUGAUUUAAGAAAAAAAAUAAUAAAAUUGAUAAGAAAAAGAGAAAAACAAAACCACAGGGGAGCAAAUUGAUACAUUUUAAAUCACAGGGGGGCAAAGUGAGAAAUUACGAAACCACAUGGGGUUUUUUGAAGUUUUCCCUAAAAUAAAUGUAUUCUUUUUCUUGAUAAAAUAGUUUUUGUAUUUGAUUUCUAGCUAAGUUUUAAUUGGAUUCCUAAACCUUAAAUAAGUGAGAAUGUCACAUAUUGUAAACUUGUAAAACUAUAAAAGUACAGGCCCAUUUCCAAAUCUACCGGUUCAUGCAUCUACCUACCUCAUCGUUAGUACAAAUAGCAAAAUACUUAAUAACUAAUUUUUAAAAUUUUAAAUUAUUUUAUAUUUUCAACUAAAUUUAUAUUUUAAAGAAUAAACAAAAUGAAUAAAAUAUUAUCUUUGUCUUAAAAAAAAAAAAGAGAAAAAAAAAACUUUCACCCAAUAUUCGACUUCCAAACGCAGAGUUUCUUCCAUCCAAGCAGUUCCGUAGCACACCCAAAAAUAAAUAAAUAAAUAAAUAAAAAUAAAAAAGAAUCUAAACGACGAGAGGCUCCCAUGCACUUUGGCCCCUCACUCAAUUAAUCUCCUGCAUUAAAAAUUUUAACAAUUACCAUCUUACAUCCGUCUAAAAUUUUAAAAUGAGUGUAAAACUCCGCUAUAAUAUAUUGUAUAAAAAAGGUUUGCAAAGUAAAUUAAUGAAAACUAAUACGAUAAACUUAUAAAAUUCAACAAAAUUGUUCAAUAACUAUAAAUUUUGAUAAUAGUAACAAAGUUGGAGGUCUCGUUAAUCGAAUCUAUUUUGAAUUUUUGAGUUACAAAUUAAAUUGAUGUUGAAAAAUAGAGUGAUGUGAUAUCUAGUAUUAUUUUAAUAAAACUUUAUAACCAAAAUUAUCAAGCAUCCUAACUUUAUGAGCCUAUUUGAGAUGAUACACAUAAUAUUAAUAGUUAAUUUUUUUUUAUGUAGUGAGUUAAUUGAGGCAAGGGUAGUUAAAAUAUAUAUAUAUAUAUAUAUAUAUAUAUAUAUAUAAUAAUAAUAAUAAUAAGACCGACAUAAGUAAGCGACCAAACUCCUAUCCAUUGAAUAUAUUAAAUGUUACGUAUAUGAGCUUCUCACAAGCAUUGUGUCAUUAAUUUAUCGAUUGCUACGAGGGGGGAAUGAAGCUACAAUAUUUAAUUAAUAAAUCAAGUGCAAACGAAUCUGCAUAGGGAAAGAGAAUGGAUUGCACAUUUUUAUGGAUUUUAAAUUUAAAAUUAGGUACACAAAAGAUGCUACACAUUGUAGCGGAGAUGCUGUGUUUGAUUUGAUGCUCUCUUUUUUGAUAAUAAAUUUUUGAGUGGCACUUUUUAUAUAUAUGUAAAUUGAUGAAUUUAAUGGAUAAUCCAAUAAUGAGACUAUUUCAAUGAUCUUCUCUUCUUUAACUUAUAGAGUUCUUCUUCUUCUUCUUCUUUUUUUCUAAUAUUCCUGUAGGGCUCAACCCCAAAAAUAGCCAAAAAAAAAAAAAAAAAAAACAUUCACGUAUUACUCUGAUUUUUUUAAUCCAAUAGAAAAAACCCUUGAUGCUUUGUUUGGAUGAAGAGAAAAAAAUAAUUAAUUAAUUAAUUUUCUCUAUUAUUUUUUGGAUUAAAUAAAAAAACAAAACCUCUCUCUUUCAUUAUAUUUCUGGAAAAAGGAAAAUCAACCAUAAUGAAAAGUUAAUUUCUGUUCAUUUCUCUGUAUUUCUCUAAUUCUCUCUCGGUAAAUUUCUAUCAAAUGGAACAAAAUAAUUUUAUCUUAAUUUUCUCUGUACAUUCCUAUCAAAUAACUUCUUAUUUCUCUAAUUCUCUCUCCGUGGGUUCCUAUCAAAUGAAAUAAAAUAAUUUUCUCUCUUAAUUUUCUCUUUCCUCUUCUCCAUCUCCAUCUAAAUGGAUCUUAAAAGUUGGACCAAAAUGUCUUUAUGUUGAUUUAUUACGGUCCAAAUUGAGUGUAAAAGUUGGACCAAAAUGUUUUUAUGUUGAUUUACUAUUCAAAAAAAGCGACACUCAGAAAAAGGGAACCACUCAAAAUGCCCCAACUGUUUUUUCCACCAAAAUUUUCAGAGUAACUUUAAAACCAAAAAGAAAAAACUUAUUUUAAUCUCAAUAUGUCAAAAGAGAAGCUCCUUGCUUUUGCCUAAAACUGUAUUAACCCUUUCCCUAGCUAUUCUUAAUUUGUCCAAUACUAAAAGGUGUUAAAAAAGUUAACAAUGCAUAGAGCUUAGUGCUUGCUUUAACAUAAAGGAUUAAUUAGUAGCUUUUCACAAACUACUACUCCACCCAACGCAUUAGAUUAAACAAAUCCUAUUAAGUUUGGUACCUUUUUCUCAAAAAAAAAAAAAAAAAAAAAAAAAAAAAAAAAAAAAAAAAAAAAAAAAAACUCUUAUUAGGUUUGGUAUUGAGUUCGAUUUAAGUUGUCCAUGAUGGGAGGAACGGAUGAAACAGUUGUCUUAAAUUGGGGAAGGUGGGGGAGAUGGUGUUGUUAAUUAGGAGAUUGAUUAGAGAGAACGGAAUUAAUUAGAUAGAUGUACUAAUCCCUAAUCAUAGCAACCAACUAAAAUUUAGUUGGGAUAGUGAGUUGAUGGGAAUGAUACGCUGGAAAUUAUUAUACUAACAGUGCGUUCGUUACGAUCUAUUAAUUUUCAUAUCUAUUCAAUAGAUCGCACUUACUCAAAAUAUCAAUCAACAUCAUGAGAACAUGUUUUAUAGUAAUUGAUAGAUUUAAACAAACGUCUUGAGAACGAGAAAGUUUACUGUAUAACACUUACACCAUAUCAUCUAUCUCCAACCAAUCAUAUAUUUUAUUUUGCGAUAAAAGUAUAAUAAAAAUAUUUUUUUUAAAAUAAUGAUGAGGAGAUGGAUGAAUCACAGAAAAACUUUUUGAUCGGUUGAGAGUACCGCAUCAGUAAUAUAACUAUUGCAUUCAAAAAUAUUUACAGAAUUUCAAAUUAAAGACCAUAAGGUAGUGAAAAUAUAAACUACACAGUAUUUUCUUUACUUUUUUAUAUGUAUAACCAUUGGUUCCAACAAAUCAGAUAGCAAGACCAAGAUCAACUUUGCCAAUAACACACCCAUAAGAAGCUAAAUAAUUUUAGAGACACAAAAAUAUUUUUUUUUUUGUUUUUUUAGAAAAAAACUUAAACUAAGUAACUAACUAGUGUAUACCUCUGCAAAUUAAAACACCUUAAAAUCAUCAUCAAUUUGAGGCGGGGGCGGGGGCGGGGGCUCCGUUAGGAGCGUUAUGCCGUCGCCGUUAUUGUCGUCCUCGUCCGUUUUACCACCCUUGGCCGCUUCGCGGCUUUGGAAGACCUCGUCGACGACUCUCUCGACGUCGAGCGCCGCGUCGCACUCCCCGUCCCGCUCCGUUACUGUUACGGUUACGGUGGGGAUGAACGGCGGGCGAGCGACCGUUAGCAGGGAUUCCCAAUCUACCCCUCUGAAGAAUUCGUGCUGCUUGAUGGCGUGGGGCGCGAUGCGGUUCCGGGGGUCCUUGUCGAGGAGGCGGGCGAUGAGGUGGCGUAACGGCGUUUGCUCGCCGACGAGCUCCGGGUCCUUGGAGAGGAUGCGGUAGAAGGUCUCUUUCCGAUUUUGCCCCCGGAAGGGGGUGCGCCCGUAGAGCAUCUCGUAGAGCACCACCCCCAGGCCCCACCAGUCCACCGCGAAAUCGUGGCCCUUCCCUCUGAUGAUCUCCGGCGCCACGUAAUCCUCCGUCCCCACGAACGAGUUCGACUUCCCCGGCGACCUCGCCGGCGACGCCCCCCCGCCGGAUGCUUCGCCGGCCACGGCCGGAGACGGGGACGAGGAAGGGGACGGGGACGGAUCCUCCGGGGACACUCCCGCGUCGCAGGAGAAGCAACUGAGGAGGGGGCGCUUCUUCUUCUUCUUAUUCUUCUUAUCCUUCUCCUCCGUGCUCGCGGAGGAGGGGAGCGGAGGAGGAGGAGGAGGGGGUUUGGAUCGAUCGGGGGGCGGCGGGGGAGAAGGGAGCUUCGUGGAGAGGUCGAAGUCGACGAGCAUGAGGUGGCCGUUGUCCUGGAUGAGGACGUUCUCGGGCUUGAGAUCGCGGUACACGAUCCCCAGUCCGUGGAGGUGCUCCAGCGCGAGGACGAGCUCCGCGGCGUAGAACCUGCGCGAGGCCGGGAAUUCGAGAAUCGCCGAGUUAGCUAGGGGUUCCGGAGCGGAAUCGAUCGUUUCGAGAGCCUUACCGUAUGACGUCGUCGGAGAACAUCUUCUCGGUCUGGCGCCGCCGGAGCGAGUUCAGGUCGCCUCCGGAGCACCGAUCGAUGGCGAACCCGACGAUCCGCUCCGUGGAGACGACGCCGCGGAGGGACGGCAGGAGCGGGUGGCGGAGCGCCUGGAGCACGUCGCGCUCGAACCAGAUCCGGCGAUAGGCGUCUCCUCCUCCAUCGCCGCCGCCGCCGCCGUGGCUCUUGGCGUGCUCGACGGAGGAGCGGGAGAUGGCCUUGAGGGCGAGCGGCUCCCCACCGGCGGUGGGUUGGACGAGGAAGACGACGCCCUUGGCCCCGCGGCCGAGGACGGAGAGCGCUCUAAGCUCCGCCAAAUCCAGCGACGGCGGAGGAGGAGCGUGGAGCAUCGCCGCGGCGGAGCUCGUCGUCGUCGUCGUCGUCGUCGAGUCGGAGAUGAUGGUAGGGUUAGCGGGGCGGCGGCGGCGCGCGCGAACUGAGGGUUUUGAAGGGAGGGGUCGACGAUUCCUUGGGAGCGAAGCAUCUGAGUGGGAGGAGAGUAGGAGGAGAAUUGCGGGGGUCGGUUUGUUUUGACCAGUUGACAGAAAAAGCGAACGGGUGUGAUCAUGGUACAAAUGCGCGUGCACGAUCGUGGGGGGUGCGCAGAUGAGAAGGACGGGUGUUUGAGUUGGUGACUCCAUGUUGCGUGUUUCUGUACGCGUUACAUUUCGCUAUACAUAUAAUAAUGCUUCAGGCCCGAUUUGGAAUAGCUCUAAAAAACAUAGCAUAGGUUAAAAUUAUACUAUACACGAUAGAAAUAAUAAAUUUUAUAGAAGCAUUUAGACAGAAAAAAAGAUAUAUAUAAUUUUUAGAGGUGAUAGUUAUCCGUUAUACUCCCAAAAGAGAUAGAGUAAUUACAAUUCACUUUCUACCAAAAGAAAAGAAACAUUCAAAUGCCAUUUGGGUUCGUCAAAGAUCAUUCAAUUUCAUAAAGUUUUAAAUUUUAACAGUAAAAUGUAAUUCAAAAUUUAAUAAAUUUUAAAAUUCUAAUUUUAAUUUUGAGUUUUAAAUUUCAAAUUUCAAAUUUAAUAAAGUUUAAAAUUUUAAAUUUCAAUUUUCAAAUUUUUAAUUCAACUUUCCAAAUUUUCAAAGACUUUUAAACUUUGCAAAAAGCUGCAGAUUGCAAAGUUUCAAUAUUGCAAAUUGUCAAACUUGUCAAAUUUGCAAAUUGUAAAAAUUCAGAAAUAUUUAAGUAUAUAUUUGGAUUUUUAAAUUUUCAAUUUCAAAAUUUAAAAUUAAAAGCUGUAUAGAUUUUAAAAUCUUUAAAGAUUUAAAUUCAUAAAUUAUAAAUUUAUAAAGUUGAUUAAAUAUUAAAUUUAAAAAAAUUGUGAUUAUAGAUUAUAAAGAUUUUUUAAUUUCGAUUUAAAGUUUAAAUUGUAUGGAUAUGUUAAAAUUUGAAAAUUUAAAGGUUUCAGAAAUGUUCAAAAUUUUAAAUUUCAAAUUCCAAAUUUCAAAUUUCAAAUUUAAAACAUAAAAUCUAAUUUAAUUUUUUAAUUUUUAAUUUUUAAUUUUAAUUUUAUAUUUUGAAUUUUGAAUUUUAAUUUUUAAAAUUUUAUUUUUAAUUUUUGAAUUUUGAAUUUUGAAUUUUAAAUUUUGAAUUUUGAAUUUUAAAAUUUUAGAAAUUUAAUUGUUAUAAAUAAUAUGGAAUUGUAUGAUCUGUAUCCAAACAGCUUAAAAAUGAAAUUGUGAAAUUUUUUUGUAAUUACAGAAUUUCGUAUUUUAAUUAGACCAAAAUUAUAGAAUAAAAAUUUUAUGGAAUUUUUUAACUAUGCAUUCGAACAGGGCCUUCAGUACUGUUCUAGAUGGAAUUGGUGGGCGCUCCGCCAUCUGGCCCGUUCCAUUUUUUAGCAGACACGUGGACGGCGCAUCGGCGCCGCGGGACGCAUCCGGGAACGAACGGCGCAGAAUCCAGCAUCGUGGGUCGACAGUGUUGUUUUCGUAAGUGGGAAAUAUCAAAUAUGUCACGCGCUGAGAGAGCUUGUCCCAACGUCGUCUUUGUCUACCGCGUCAUCCGUGGACCGGACCAAUUAAAAGUGACGGUUGCUUGGACUCGGUGCAGCACGUCAGCUGUAGACCGCUCAAUCUAGAUCGUCCGGGGCGCUGCUUUGCCCCGUUUGGGCCGGUGGCGUGAUUUGGGCAGUGGGGUUGGGCCUAAAGUCAAAAGUGGGUUAAAUGAUAUGAGGAGCAGUACGCACGUGCGAACGCACGUGGCAUUGGAUGAGCCAGAAAAGGCGGUUGGAUACGUGGUGCGUUUCUUUCCACCACUACAGUAAAAGUGCACAUUAACAUGCCCUUUUUUCUCUCUCUCUCUCUCUCUCUUUUUUUCUUUUUUUUUUUACUUAAUUUAUAUAAGAGAAUAUGAAGCAUAUGUGUUACUGUUGGGUGUGGAGUGCUCCUAAAUUUAAGUUGUACUCUGCGAACCUAACUUUUAUUAUCCCUAUUAUUAUUAUAAAAAAGUCAAAAUUUGAACCAGUCACUUGUUGUAAUUUCUGAGGUAACGAAUUAUAGUCAGCGGCCGAUAAAAUUUUGGACAAGUAGAGAAAAAGCCGACAAAAUUCCCAGAUUUGAAAGCCCACUGUCAGUUCACUGAUGACAAUGCUGUGGCACAACUUUGGCAGGUUCCUCCUCCAUGAAGAAACAAUUAAAUGUUUGGAAAAUAAAAGUUCCCAACUUUUAAUGUGACAAUAAUAACUUGAAAUCUAAAAAAGUGAAAGUUCAGAUUUGGGAACUCCUGCUUCUGCUGCUGCAGUAAACAAUUGUUAGUAGAGAUUUUCAAGUGGAAGUUCAAAUUGGAAGAAGCUCAUGCUUCUGCUGCAGCAGAAAGUUGUAAAUAGAGAUUUCUUAUGAAAAAUCUGUUCAAACAAAGCUACAAGCUAACCCAAGGAAAAAGAGCAAAAAAAAAAAAAAAAAAAAAAAAAACCAACCUUUUCUCACCUGCAGAAGACAAGCACAAGCAUGGUAGUAGUUCACAUCCCAGAGAACAUACAUAUUGCAAAACAAAUUUAAACAGGAAUACAAACAUGACCAUAAACUGCUGAUUCACCAGACAAUAAAUAGCAAAUUUUGUCUAUCAAUUAAUGAAAGUUAAAAGUAAUUUCAUUGUCUCAAUUCAUCAGAAGUAGCAGAUGCAGCGAAACCCACAAUCGGAAUCCUUCGAGGCGGCAGUGAAAUUUACUGAGAUUCUGCAGCCAAUCCAAGCUCUUAUUUCUGAGACUCUGAAAUUCCGAAUUAGCCCUCGCGAAUGUUCUCUCUAGGGUAAAGCCCGAAAAUAGACCGUCCACAAGACUCCGAUCUUGGAAAUCGUCUUAGUUAAACCGAUCGGAAGAAGCAGAAUCUCUCGCAGAAAUCUCUUCCAUAAUAAUUGUGCGACCUACACAUUAAUGAGAAAAGGUCAUGUUAAUUUCAAUCUUGGAAUCCAUGCCGUACUAAUUGAGGAAAGAGAAUAGCACAUUAGUCAACAAGGACUAUGCAGUUGAUGCCGUGCAAAUAGGGUAAGAGGCUAAUCGGCUGUGUAUAAACUUACAUUCAUCUCCUUGAGUUAUCCCAUAACGUGGCUAACAAUCAAUUUCUCAUUAUACGCUUGAUCGGUGUUUCCUGAAUUCAUAUGGGGAAUUUGACGAGUUCACACAUGUAUUUUGAAGCUUCUUUCCGCUCAACAGUGGCCCGCAUUUUCAGGGCAGAAAGAGUCUUUUAAGAAAAAUAUUUCCAGGAAUAUUCACACAGAAGCCAGGCACGCUAAUGUAAUUUGUGAAUUACAAGGCAUAUAUAUAACUGGUGCGGAAACACAUCAUUUAUUUUUAUCCAGUAAAUGUAGGAUAUAUAAUCUUUCCCUUUUAUGCUCUAGCUCUCAAUUCUUUUAGUUUCUUCCACCUAGAGGAAAAGGUGGGAAACUUUGCAACUUCUCUAACACAACAUGUUUCGCAUCUCUAUACAGCAGUGAGGACUAAAAACAGAAUUUUUACACAUAUAUAGAUGUUAAGAUGCUACAUUAGUAAUGAACUAAUCAAAAUGAAAGAAUCGACUUGUAGUGACAUUUUAUAUGAUCAACGCUACGUUAUUUAACUAAUUUCUUUUACACUUUUUAAUGAAAAUUACGCCUCUAAAUUUUCCUAGAGCUUUUUUUAUCAAGAUCAAAAUUAAACAAAACAUACAAACUAACCAUACAUUUGAAAUUUUUAAAGAUGAAAGGUUCCUUAAGGAAAAAAAAAAAGGACUUAAUUGUCAAGAUAAAAACUAAUAAAACUCUUUGAAUUGCAGCAGGUGAUUACUGGCAUAAGACGGCGAAAAUUGCAGAAGAGGAAAAAGUAGCAGAAAGUAAAGCAGAAUGAAGAAGGAAGGUCAUGUUAAGACUACUCUUGGAUGAGAGUGAUCCUAACUCCUAAGCUGCCUCAUUGAUGUAAUAUCGUAGCUUCGAACCUCCACUGCUGAUAUUUAAUUGGCUACACAUUUAACGGACUAGUCAGAUAAUAUCCAUCCAACUGGAAUUCCAAAUCUGAGUUUUGUCGCGUACAGGUUUCAAAUACUUGUAUCAGUAACACGACAUACGCGUUAUAGGACUACAAGUUAUAUGGAUCAAGAGACUCUAAGUUCAAGAACUAUACUAAUAUAUGAAACUAUGAACAUUAGGCAUGAUUGACUAACUUUAAGAAUUAUACUAACCACCAUCUUAUCUUAUCUAGAAUUUCAAGCACCAAAAAACUAAUAUACACACAUUCAAACAACCAAAUUCAUAACAAAACUAAUUCAACUAAAGAUCUAACUACCAGGCGGUACAAACAAUUCGGCAACAGUUUUAUACCUCAAAUCUUAAUGAUCUUAGCAGCUCUGAUCAAAGGGUUGGCCCUGGCGAUCUCCUCCCUCCCCGCGGCCUUGUAGUCAAAAGAGCACCUGUGGGCUUCGGAGUGGCGGUGGCGGCCGCAGAAGAGGCCUCCGCACCGGCACCGGAAACUGGUGAGCCCCACCUUCUUCCGGCAAGCGGAGCACCGGUUACUAAACCCAACCGACAGCCGAGAUUCCCCCUCAUCGUCUGGCCGAUGUGCGCAAUCGGAGGACGCAAAAUCCUCAUUCAAAUCGAUCUCCGGCGCCUUGCGCUUCUGCCUUAGAGACAAUAAAGGUGGUGAUGGUGGUGGUGGUGGUGGUGAUGUUGAUGGGGGAGGGGAAGAAGAAGAGGGUUUGAGAAUCUCGGCCUCAUCUUUGUCGAAAUUACAACUUUCCCGUGCCAUUAGAGCGCCUAGAAGAGAUCGAACAAAUCCAAGAGGCUUAAAAUUCGUAAGCUAUAGCAGAUCGCGAGGAAUCGAACAGGGAAUUUACAGCUUUAGAUCGUAAAAAAAAAAAGGAACUUUAUUGCUUCAAACUAGUGGGGAACUUGAAAAGGAAACAAACUUCUCAACUAGAUUAAGGAAAACAAAUCAAAAAGCAAAACCUGUUCGGAUUCGGAAGUGGAGUCGAUGGAUUUGGCGAUGGUUACCAAAUCGAACACGCCAAAUAAGGUGAAAUCCUUUGAAUUGGACUCCGAGAGCUAGGGUUUCACCGAUUUUUUGGGAGGAAUCGAUGGAGAAUGGGACAUGGAUAAAUUGGAGAUUGUUGAAGAAGAUGGAUUUGAUCGAUCGACGGGAGGAAUCGUGAGAAAUUGGGGAGGGAGAAGGGGAAAGGUUGAAGCUUUGGAGAUGGUGGGAGAAACAAAGAAGAGAGAGAGAGAAGAGAGAGAGAGAGAGAGAGAUAUUAUCAACCCUUAUUAUUAUUACAGAAUAUAAAAAGUUUAAUAACAAAAAAUAGGUUGAAAAAUAUUGGAUAAAUUGUAUUGUAUGGUUAUUACUCACAUAUAGCAAUUACUAUAUUUUCUUUUACAUAUUUUAUUUUUAAAACUUUCACAUGUUCAAUAUUUUUUAACUUUUGACUGUUAAACAUUCUAGUAUUAGUACAAAGUAAUCUUCUAGAAAGGUAAAACAAUUAUUUGAAUGAAAACUAGAUUUUCAAUAAGAAAAUUUAAAAUAUGAAGAGCAGGGCUAUUAUACUCCUAUGAGUAUAGAGCCCUUUAUUUUUAUAAGUUAUUUUUAAUGAUGGAGUUUCCGAGUGAAUAAUCUACACCGUUAAAUUUGCUUUAAGCAUUUGAAAUUUCUAGAAAAUUAAUUUCGUAAUUUUUUUAAAUCAUAAUAAAGUUCAUCAAGCGGGGGCAUAAAAUGAAUGAUCAAAAACAAAUGACGUCCUAAAAAUAAAUAAUCGAAUCCUUCGAUCGGAAUUAUUAAUCUUUAUCUAUAUAGUGAAUAAAAUUUUUCUAUCAAAAAUUCUACUGAUUCCGAAACUUUCACAUCGUUGUUAAACUAGAAAGUAUUCUCUACUGGCUAUUAAAAAUUAUCAAUUUUGAGAUCUUUUGAUCGUAAAAUAAAUAAUGUCAAAAACUUAUAAAAUUUAAUUUUUAAAAAUUUUAAAUAUUAUAGAUAAUAUUUAAUGGUAUGAAUCAUCAAUUUAGAAACUCUAUCAACAAAAAUAAUUUAUGAGCACGAAAGUGAUCGUAUUUAUAAAAAUAUAGCAGCUAGACUUAAAUACAAAAUGUUAAAACUUAUAACCUAUAAAUAUUUAGGUAAAAAUAGUACAAGCACUGAGUCUCCGUAUCAAGAUGGUACAAGAAAUGUUCACACAUUUUAUCCAAUUAUUUUGUGCAAAAAUAAUUUUCCAACAAUUGACUGUAAAAUUUUAUAACGAAUAAUCGUUAAUUUUUGGAAAAACUUCAAAAAACCCCCCGUGGUUUCGUAGUUUCUCACUUUGUCCUCAUAUGGUUUAAAAUGUAUCAAUUUGCCCCCUGUGGUUUCUUUUUUCUCUUUUUCUUAUCAAUUUUUUUUUUCUUAAAUCAGUGAUAAAGUUAAUUUAACGGGUACUAAAGUGAAUAUUUGAUAAAUCUAGAUGGGUAUAUGAAGUUUUUUUGUAUAUAAUUUAAUAAAAUAUUAACGAAAAAGCUACCGAAAAAAUAAAAACGAAACCAUGGGGGGGGCAAUUUGAUAUAUUUUAAACCAUAGGGGGGCAAAGUGAGAAACUACGAAACCACAUCUGGGUUUUUGAAGUUUUUUCUUAAUUUUUAAAAUUAGUAGAUAAUAAAAAAAUUUUACAUUUCUAUUCAACAUCAUGAAGCCUCCAAUUUUUUUUUAAAAAAAAAUAAAAUUAAUAGACGUUAACAAAUGAUCUCAGAAUAAGAUUUCGAAAAUUCCAAAUGGGCUACAAAUACGGCCCAUUUAUUCACUCUGUUUAUGGUUGGCCCAAUUAUAUUGGGUAUAAGGCCCAUUUAUCUUCCUCCUUGGGCCUAUUUAUUUCUUUGUUUAUUUAUUUUUUGGUUUGAUUGGAUUAAGCUUAAUGUUUUUCAGAGCGCCCCCGUGGUCGGGUCUGGGUUGGGUUGAGAUUUCACUUUCGUAACCGAACCCAAAUUCUAAAUUGGACAAUUGAAACCGGAUCGUGUAUCUGGUAGAUCGGAUUCUACGUGUCUGGAUUUGACCCACGCUAGUUACUGCAGCCCGGUUUCUAUGUGCUCAGAAAUUGUGAGUCGGUCCUGGAUUGGCGAUCGAACUCGAGAUCGAAUCGACAUCGUACUUUGGAGCGCGAUUUUGGGCUUAAUUAAUUUGGUCGAGGUUGAGUGGGUCUAAUUGAAACUCAAGUCAACAACAUUAGUGUACUAGUUGGCUCGGUUCAUUGGGUGAGCAGCAUCAGGUUAAACCUUUUGACCAACCGUUCUUAGAGCAAGUGGCAAAGGGUUUGAUGGUUGAUACCCGAGACCCAAGUUCGAAUCCUAAUUGACUCACAUUUUCAGUUAAGUUUAUUUCUAAAUAAAAUAAACGAAGCAGGUAACAUGCUACCUAUCUCUCAAAAAAUAAAAAAAAGUUAAUCCUUUUGUUUUUUCACCUUUCCAUUUAUAUUAUCCACCUACUCAACAAUAUAAUAUUUUUACUUUUAUAUUUCGUUACAACUUGCUGUUAAAUAAAACAAUAAAUUUCAUAAUAUUUUUUAUUCGGGUGAUACUACCCCACAUAUCAUACUCGUACUUAAUUCUAUAAUAUAGUGGCCAAAGAGCAAUAAUAAUUAAUUUAAUCUUGUUAAUCUUAAUAGCCAACAUUAGUUUGAGCAAAAGCCACAAAACAAAAGGUGUGACAAUGUCACUUACGUACGUACGUACGUAUAUUUAGUGAAAUCGUGUGAAAUGAUUGGCACGUGUGAUUAUCCCCUGAUAAUAAUAAUAAUAUAUAUAUAUAUAUUAUUGUCCACUAAAGUCAAAAGGUUAGAGGAUCUGACCAUCUGAGAGCGUUGAGAAUAUUCCCCAGAAAGUCAAAGAGGAACUAAAAAGUAUUUUACUUCUAUAUGUACUCCGCCUUUAAUAAUUAAGUACGUAGUAUGGAUUAUUAUAAUAUACGAUAAUGUUCAUUAAUGUUAAUGUUUAAUUUAUAAAGAAAGCAUACACUAAUCUCACUCAAAUGACUAAAUACUUAGGUGGUAUCACUACAACAGAAUUAGAUUAUAGGGACACAUGUUUGUGAUACUUUUGAGUAAGUGUCCCAUUUAUGCUAAAACUUAAAAAAAAUAUCUACUAAUGCCUAAAUAUAAAACCCAAUCCAACCAACAAUAAAAAUUACUCUACUCAACCCACCACCCAGUCCAUUUGGCCCGAUUACAAACAGAAAAGAAAAAAAAAAGAAAAAUUAAUUACCAUCUUUUCUUCUCUCUUCACUCAAUCCACUGAAAUUCUAGACAAAGAGCCUUUCCUGUCGUCCUUCUCCACCACGACAGCCAACGAGAUAGAGUUUCGGCGGUUGCUAAAUACUUAAAUAAGUGUUGGUAAAUUAGCAGCACUCUUUUAGAUUAUAGCGACAUUCUUUAAUUGUCACUAUAUACCUAGCGACCCCACAUAUAGCAACACUUUUUAAAAGUAUCGGUAAUUUUAGCUAGCAGCACUUUUUUAACAUAUACCUAUAUUUAAAAGUGUCGUUAUAGACCGUUUUUGUUGUAGUGUAUUUAGUUUCGCAGAAAAAUGUACGUAAAAAAUAUUUUUUAAAUUUUUUUCUUUCAUAAAAAAUAUUCUUUUCACUGUUUUUAUUUUUUCAGGUAAAAAAUUUUAAAAAUAAAACACUACUUUUUUUCUAUGAAAUCUAAAAAAAAAUUCAGAAAAACUACUUUUCAUAUAAAUCAAACAUACGAAAAAUACUUUUUCAGUAAAAACUUAUUUUCUAGAACAUUUUUGGGAAAGCCAAACACUCCUUUAGAGUGUAAAUUAAUGAAGUAUUGCUCUAAAAUACCCAAUUAAAAAAAUCCUUACUCCUUAUUUUCGUAGUUGAUAUUAUUAACUAGAUUGAGCAAAUUAGGAGCCAAUCGAAAAGACUAGGCAUGGUUCAGCUUGGUCGAUCGGUAGAGUCAGGGACGAAUCUAGAAUUCAAUCUGGAGGGGGGCCAAAAUAUAUUUAAAUAGAAAUUUUAGUAAUAAAUAAUAAACAAAAUUUUUUUAAUUAAAAAUUUUUUAUUAAAAAAUUAUUAAUUAAAUAAAUAAUGUAAAAGUAUGAACUUUAUGUUUUUUAUUUUCAUAUGUUUAACUUCUAAUUAUUUUUUUAUAUUAUUACAUUAAAAUAACUUAGAAAUUUUACUAAAUCUAACAUUAAUUUAUUAAUUUUUUAGUAAAUAAAAUUAACAUAAAGUUCAUACUUAAUGCGAUUAUUGAUUUAGUCAAAUAAAAGAGCUCACCUAAGAUAAAUAAAAUAUUGAAAAAUUAGGGGGGCCAAAGCUAUCCAUGGUCCACAAAAAAAAAACUUUGAAGGACCAUUAAACAAAUAUUGAAAAGUUGAGGAGAGCCAUGGCCACUUUGGGUCUCCAUGUAGCUUCGUCCCUGAGCAUAGUAAUCUUCUCAUAGUUUUUCUUACUCUUUUCAUUUUAUAUUUCAUCUUUUGAUGUUAUAUGCUAUCGCGUGUGUAGGCCGAAAAAAAAAAGAGAAGUACUAUUAUAGGUUCCAAAGAAUGUUGUUUUUAAUGAUAUGUUGCUAAUGUGAUGAUACUUGUAGUAUAUAUAAAGGUGUUAACUCGAUUGUGUAAGGCUUCGUUUGGGAUUACGGAGAGAUUGCAUUACGUGCGGUGAGAAAAUAUGACGUAAAUAUACUUUGUUUGUUUUCAUAUGUAAUAUUGCGUUCCGCUUAUCGUGAUGAGUCGAUUACGAUCGAUAUAUUUUCUACAGUCCCACCGGUAUAUGCUUUUAUCCCAACUCUAUUUUAUCUAAUAACGUCAGAUUAACCUCAAUACCAAACUAAGUAUAAAAUCACUAUUUCUUUCUAAAAAGCUAAGAUCUUUAUUAAUUAGAUUAGAAUUCUACUAAAGUGCUCAUGUUUUUGUGUCAUGUAAAAUAAUUAUUUGCCCCUAAAAAUUCAACAUGUUAGAGAAUGAUGUUUUAAUAUCUUUGCAAAAUAUGACAUAAAUUUGUCAACCCAUCGACAUGUUAACACCACAUAUACAAGCGCAGCAUUAAUUUAGGUGAUACAAAUUGAGCAUUUCAUAAAUAAUAUUCCAUGCCAGCAAUGGCAGAUUCAGAAAAUUUUUUUAAGAGAGUCAAAUAUAAAAUAUAUAAAUAUAAAUAUUAAAAAUAAUAAAUAUAAAUUUUAAGAAAUAUUGCAUGGAAAAAAUGUAUCAUUCUAAAUUAUAAUUAUUUUCGACAUAUUUUUAUAUAUAUUUUGGAAUAAUGUAUAAUGGCAUUAUUAGAUUAGGAUUUUUUUUUAUCAUUCAAACUGCAAAUGUUUUCAAAAAGAUAUGUAAAAAUAUUUUUAAAAUAUUUUAAUGAUACUUUUGUUUACCUAGGAUUCAAAUUUAUAAUAUUGAAAAAUAUGCUAUGUAGAAGGAAAGGAUGAUGUUUACUUAUUUACUAAAAUAUAAAAAUGUACAAAACUUAACUAUGGACUAUUUUGAUUUGGCUAUCCUAUCUUUCAAAAAUUUGAAUUAUUCAACUUUUCAUUUUGUUUGAUUUGAGUAACUCAACGAUAAUUUGACUUCAAAAUUUAUUUAUAGUUGUGAGAAUUAAAAUAAAGUAUACAAAUUAAAUAAGUAAAGAUAGUAAUACAUUCAAAUUUUAAAGCCAAAAUACCGUUGGUUGAUUCAAAUCAAACAAAUUGAAAUAUCGAAUAGUAAAAUCAAAAUUUUGAAGACUUGGAUAGCUGAAUCAAAAUGCUCAAUAGUUCAGAUAAAUUCUGUACCCUUUUAACCUUAUUGAGUUAGAACGAGAUCAAUUAAUCACAAUGAAGUAAAAUUAACGACUAAAUAAACUCUGGUAUCGUUUGGUUCAAGGAUAAGGAAAAAGUGGCUAUUCCAGGAAUAGGUAUAAAUUGAGGUAUAAGUGAGGAUUAGAACAAUUUUGCGUUUGGAUAAAAAUUAGGUUAUUUCUGAGGAUUAAAAAAAUAGCGUUUGGUUAGGUAAGAUGGAAUAAGAAAGAUUGUGGGUUUUAUAAAUAAAAAAUAACAAAUAUAUAUUACCCUCUUAUUAUAUUUGAAUUUAAAUUUUUAAAAUUUUAAAUAUAUAUUUUUAAAUUUAAAAUUUUAACUUUGAAAUUUCAAAUUUUGAAAUUUAAAAUCUCAAAUUUUAAAUUCAAAAUUUUAAAUUUUAAAUUUCAAACUUUAAAUUUAAGAUCAAAUUUAAAUUUGAAAAAUAUAAAAUNAUUAAAAUAAAGUAUACAAAUUAAAUAAGUAAAGAUAGUAAUACAUUCAAAUUUUAAAGCCAAAAUACCGUUGGUUGAUUCAAAUCAAACAAAUUGAAAUAUCGAAUAGUAAAAUCAAAAUUUUGAAGACUUGGAUAGCUGAAUCAAAAUGCUCAAUAGUUCAGAUAAAUUCUGUACCCUUUUAACCUUAUUGAAUUAGAACGAGAUCAAUUAAUCACAAUGAAGUAAAAUUAACGACUAAAUAAACUCUAUGUAUAGCUAGAGAUGUGGAGAUGUUUUUGGAGAGAGUUGGUCGGGUCAAUUGACCUCACUUCAAACCACACGGAACUGCGAAUGCAUGCCAGUUUGUGAGUACGUAAUUAAUGUGUAGUAAACCGGGUCCAAAAUGAAGUCCAUAAUCAACCUGUUUAUAUGUAGAUCGUCGUAGGUCCAACAAGGACCCAAAAAUAUGAAACCUAUAACAUGGAAUAUGAAACCUAUAACAUGGAAUGUUGAAUGUAAAUAUUAUCCAACUUCAAAUUUUUAGUUUCCCAACUGUUGAAUUGGAAACUCCAUGAUCUUAACAACAUGAAAACUGUGAAUCGUAAAUAAUAAUAAAAAAACUAUUCACAUGAGUUUUUCGCAACUUCAUAUAUAUGAAAUACAUUAGUCAAAAUUCAAAUUCAUUUGCUCGACCUCAAUGAAUGUGACUGGUUUAAUUACUUGCAACAUUAAUUACGCCAUUGGACUCAUAUGGACACAAAUUAAUUAAUAACCUGGUCGGCUAAAUUAACAACUAAACAAUUAAAAGAAGGUUAAUUAAUUACAAAACUAAACAUAGAUAAGGUUGAACAAAUUGUAUUACGAUCGUAACUAAUGAUGCCUAAUUAAUGAAUGAUGUAUGCAUAUGCUCAUUCUUUUCCACUACCAUGAUGUACAACACUCAAGCGAUGUUUGGUUGCAUGUAGUUGCAACUACAGGACAGUUGUAACUGCAUAUAAAUACUAAUUUGUAAUUUGAUAUUUGAUUUGAUAUAAUUAAUUCCAACUCCUACAAUUAGAAUUUGGAACUGCAGGCACAAUUUCAAUUGCAGCAGCUGGAACUAUGCCCAAAUUGACUGCAAUUCUAACUGCAACAGUUAGAAAGAGUAACUUAAAAAAAAAAUUCUUACCUUCUUAUUUUUUAAACACAAAUAACUUGGUGUUAUUGAUAGUAUUCCAGCCUAGUUCUAUAUAUUGGAGGUAAUAUUUUCAUUAUAUAUAAAAAACGACUUAUGAAUAUAAUUUCUAAAAAUUUCAAAUGCUUUAAAAUUUGCCAAUUAUAUAUUGGAGAUAAUAUUUUCAUUAUAUAUACUUCCUUUUGAUCGUUAAAAUUUGCCAAUUUUGUGAUCUUUUGAUCGUAAAGUAAAUGAUGUUAAAAAAUUAUAAAAUAUAAUUUCUAAAAAUUUCAAAUGCUUUAAAUAAUGUUUAACGGUAUGGAUCGUCGAUUCGAAAGCUCUAUUAUCGAAAAACGACUUAUGAAUACGAGGGCGAUCGUACUCAUAAGAGUAUUAUAUAUAUACUAUACUCUUAUAAGUAUAAAUUCCUUUGUACUUAUAAAUUUUUGGCUCUUAGAUGAAGUGAUGUGCAGUUAGGAUGAUAGUAGUCCCCUAAAGUUGAGUGGGUGGUUGAUCGAAUAAUAUAAUUUAACGAGUGAAAAUGAUCAAAAUGAUAGAUCUAACGGUUGAAAACUUAUGAGUGCCAAGAGAUCUAUACUUAUAAGAGUAUAGUAGCCAGACUCUCGCUCUCUCUCUCUCUCUCUAUAUAUAUAUAUAUACAUAGAGAUCUAUGCUUUUAAAAAUACCAGUUAUUGAUGCUUGUAAAUUUUUCGCUGUUGGAUUAAGAAAUGUGUGGUUGGGAUAAUGUGGGACCCCUAGAGUUGAGUAGGGAGUUGGUUGAAUAGUAUAAUCUAACGAGUAGAAAUGAUCAAAAGAAUAAAUCUAACGGCAAAAAAUUUACAAGCGUCAAGUAAUUGGUGCUUUUACAAGCACCGAACUUUCUCUCUUUCCCUUCUCUCUCUCUCUCUCUCUCUAUAUAUAUAUAUAGAGAGAGAGAGAGAGAGAGUCAACCUUGAUGUAACUGUAGUGAAUACGAUGUAGCAGUAGUUUUAUAUUACCCUCAAUGAGUAAGUAUAAUAUACAGAAUCCAGUUGCUAUACUAUUGGUAGUACGGGGGCUCUUGUGUUACUAAGUUGUUUUCAAUAAUUCGACUUCCAGAUCGACGAUCGACUCUGUUAGGCUUGAUUUAUACUAUUGAAAGUUGUAAACUAAAUUUCAUAAUCUUUCGAUAUCAUUUAACUAUCAAACGAAACGAAUAGUCUAAAAGUAAACGGCUGAAAAUAAUUAAAAAUCUCAUAAAAAAUGAUAAUAAAGAAUUUGAAUUUAAGAUCAGAGAUACUGAUCUUAUUCUAAAAAGUGAAAAAAAAAAUUUCUAUAAAAAUUUCAUCAAAUUCAAAUUAUUUUACACAGUUAAAUUUACUAACUCAUCGCAUCGACCAUUAAAAUUGUUAAUUUUGAAACCUUUUGAUCAUUAGUGGCCAUGUAAUGUUGAAAAAUUAUAAAAUUUAGUUUUCAAAUACUUCAAUACUGUAGAUCAAAUCUAACGAAGCCGAAUGUUGAUACAAAAGCCGCAUUACUAAAAAUUACUUGGUAGCACGGAAGCCUCCGUGCUCACGAUAAGAAGCAGUCUAGCUCUAAUAUACAAUCACUAUAUGCAAUGACACUGGGAGAUUCUCAGUUCCCUUAAUUUGUUUAUUCAUAGCACUACUAGUGAUUAAUGUAGCAUGCAUGGUACAAGGCUUCAUUUGAGCUCAGGUUUCUACUGGGCAAUCGAGUGACAAGGUACAGUGCUACAGUAAUUAAUGUACCACUUGCUGCAUGUAUCACAUGUAACAUGUUGACCAAUAGGAGCCGCAACUGACGACGCGUGAUGUUGAGCACAAUAGCUGGUGAAAAUUUUGCAUGAGUUGCACAGUUAUUAAGAAGUAUUUUUUAAAAAAGUAAACAAGUUUUUCUAAAGCAACUGACAGAAGGCUUCAUGGUUGAUACCCGAGAUCCAAAUUUAAAUACUAAUUGAUUCACAUUUUCAGUUAAGUUUAUUUCUAAAUAAAAUAAACGAAGCGAAUAGCGUGCUAUCUAUUUUUUUUAAAAAAAUAAGUAUUUUAAUUUUCACGAGUUGCACAAUUAUUAAAGAAGUAUUUUACUCUGGUUGGUUCCAUCUUAAAUUUCUAAGUCACAUAUAGCUUCCACAAAGAUAUUAUCAUUUUUCUAAACGUCAAAACCACACUCAAUUAUAUUUUGUUGCGUUAUUAUUUUUUAUUUAAAAAGUAAAGAAACAUAUAACGCACUCCUAGUGUGGCCCAACAUGAAAACACUGGUGAGGGUUGCAACAAGCCAACAAUCGCCGUGCACACCCAAUACCCCGACAAGAGUACGUACUACUCUUCCAAGAUUACUAUAUCAGCCACUUUUUUUUUUUUUUUUUUUUUUUAUAAAAAAACCAAGCUCAUGUGUGCUAGGUUCUCUACGUACGUACACUUGGAUUAGCUUAAUCCAUUGAGCUAGCUAAUUAAACCUUUGUUAGCUUCAAGAGAUGCCACACUUAUUAACCAGUGGACAUCUAGAUGAUUACUUAAGUUUAUUUUUUAGCCAAGUUAUUUAAGUUUAUGUUUUGAAUGUCGUGACAAGUUAUUUAGUGAUAAUUACAGUGUAAAUAGAGAUUUUUAUAUUAUGAUCGACUAAAAAUUUUGAGUUUGAUAGUUAGCUUUUGUGAGAUCUUAAUGAUUCUUACUUUUCAAGUUACUGUAUGUUAUUUAUGACAACAUAAUUAACGAGACCAAUAAUUUAAUUAGAUGCUGUAAUGCGAUGGAUAACCAUGUCCACAACUUUUUUACAUAUAUAUAUUUGCACCAAUCAAGUAAUAAGUAAUUAAUAACUUUACAUCCUUUAAGUAAACAACAAAUAUUUACCAAUCAAGAUAUUCAUACACCGACCGUCCCUAGAGCAAGUGGCAAAAGACUUGGUGGUUGGUAUCCGAGACCCAAGUUCGAAUCCUAGUUGAUUCACAUUUCUAGCUAAGUUUAUUUCUAAAUAAAAUAAACGAAGCGGGUAGCGUGCUACCUAUCUCUCAAAAAAAAAGAAGAUAUUCAUACGUACAAAUUAAACAUAACAGUAAAAGGUGUGGCAUAUAUAACUUUGUAUGUUAUAUAUAUAUAAAUAUAUAUAUACUAUGCUUUGGCUGGAACGCAAGGACGCCUUUCGUAGCUUUCAGGUUGUUUUCGAUAUUGCGAUUAUUCGAAUCGUCGAUCGGCUCAGUUAAACUUGAUCUAGAGUAUUUGAAGUACCCUAGAAAUAAAUUUUAUAUUUUUCGAUAUCAUUUGCCUAGUGAUCGAAGGGGCUCAAAAUCAAUAAUUUAAUGGUCGUAGUGAGCCGCUUAGAAGUUUAACGGUGUAGUAAUAUCCAAAUAACGUGAAAUUUGAUAGAAAUUUUUUAUACUAUAUAAAACAAGAUCAAUAUCUUUGAUCUAAAAUUUUAAUGUCAUAUUAUCGCGUUUUUAAGAUUUUUAUUUUUAGUUGAUUUUUAGCCCCUUCGUUUACUAGGCAAAUAAUAUCGAAAAAUCACAUAAUUUAUUUUCUAGAUACUUCAAAUACUCUAGAUCAAGUUUAACGGACCCGAUCGACGAUUCGAAAGUCGCAACAUGAAAAACGACCUGGAAGCAUGGAAGGCUCGUGCUUCAGAAGCUGAUCCGUGCUUCGAAGCAUAGUGCCUUACUCUAUAUUAUAUAUAGAGAGAGAGGAGAGCUAGCUAGCUGGUAUACUAUCGGUAGCACGGAGGCCUCCGUGCUACCAAUUGUUUUCAAUGAUGCGGCUUCCAAAUGACGAUCGACUCCAUUAGACUUGAUCUACACUAUUAAAAGAUAUUUGGAAACUAAAUUUCAUAAUUUUUCGAUAUCAUUUACAUAUCAACAACGAAUAGUCUAAAAAUGAACGGCUGAAAAUAAAAAUCUCAUAAAAAAUGAUGAUAGAAGACUUUGAAUUUAAGAUUAGAGGUACUGAUAUUACUCUAAAUAGUAAAAAAAAUUUUCUAUAAAAAUUCAUCUGAUUUGAUUGUUUUUACACGUUAAAUUAAAGCGCAUCACAUCUACCAUUAAAAUUGUCAAUUUAACUUUUGAUCACUAGCCAAAUGAUGUCGAAAAUUAUGAAAUUUAAUUUCCAAAUACUUUUAAUAUGUAGAUCAAGUCUAACGAGCCGACUGUUGAUUCAGAAGCCGGCCUCAUCGAAAACAACUUGGUAGUACGAAGCCUCCGUGCUACGAUAGCACAGCAGCUAACUCUUAUACUAUAUAUAUAUAUAUAUAUAUAUAUAUAUAUAUAUAUAUAUAUAUAUAUAGUCCGGCUGCUGUGCUAUCGAUAGCACCAAGUACUUUGUACUAUCAAAGUUUCUGCCGUUAGAUUAACCCUUUUGAUUAUUUUUAUCCGUUAGAUUAUACUAUUCAACCAACCACCCACUCAACCUUAGGGGGCCCAUAUUAUCAUAACCACACAUCUUUUAAUUUAAUGGUGGAAAACUUAAGUUAUAUAUAUAUAUAUAUAUAUAGUAUAUUACUAUAUAUAUUCCUAAUUUUAAAUUCGUCAGCAAGCCAUAGCUAGCUAGCAUUUGACACGUCUCCUUGACUUUUCAAUGGUCGGAGGAAAAUCGCUUCUCAAAUAAGCCGAAAAGUUUGGGCUUGGCCGGAGAUUGUCCGGGAACCUCAACACCCUGCGUUUUUCGUAGGAUCCGCGAAUGCAAUCCACGUGUUUAUUAAUUGUGUGCGUGUGUACUCGUACGGUAGAUAUGUAGUACCAGCGAAAAUCUAUUUUAUUACGCUUAUAACACAUUAUUAAUAACAAAUCAACCACAUCUCUUUAUUUUUUAAAAAAAUAAUAAAAGUAUUCUUUUAUAAUUAUAAUAAAAUUAGUAAAUUUUAAAAUAAUAUUUAAUUAGUUGACAUUUUAAAAUUUUUCGUACCUACUAUUUUUGGGCCAAAAAAGUGAGACGUAUGCGACUAUGCGCGCAGCGAAUCUACACGUACCGCGGUUUUUUAUAGAAAAAAUUUUAGAAUACGAUAGGUAUAUUGGUGAUGUGGCGUAACAAAUCAAUUAAAUGUAUUGUUUUAUGGGUAUAUGUCCCAUCAUGAUUGUAAAAAAAUAUUUUUAUUUUACUUUUUGUUUGAAAAGAAUGAAUGUUAUUGACUUGUUAUUGAUGACGUAUUAAGUGAGCCCGCUUCGCUAAAAGCGUAGUGUCUUGGUGAUCAUUUUGCCCUCACCGGCCAUGCCCGACCAAGUCGAGUCUUGUGCCUUUCGCUUGUAGUCCAACUUUUCGUUAUCAAUAAAAUACUCGUUGUUUGUGCCAAUUUGCAGGAUCCCUUUACGUGCUUUCUCUCAAUUCUCGGUCGUUGCCAAUUUGCGAAGUUGUGCCUCGGGACGGUUUGGCUUGGCUGGCUCGUUUUGUGCAGGUGACAAACGAGCGCCACGCGGGCUUUUCGACAAAAAGUCAUUAGACCCGUGACAAGUGCAAGUGUGACAGGGUAGAAUUUCCCUUCUUACAGUGCCCUUCGCCUCGCCACGUGGCGCUUCUCCGUUCCCGCGUUGAAGGUCGCCGUCCACGAGCAUUUGCUACAGUUCCCACCAAUCAUUAAUUAAUCAAACACGGAGUUAAUUAUAUCCGAGGGACUAAUUAAGAACAACACCAUUACGUAUUAAUUACAAACUACCUUAUUUGAUUAUACUUUAUUGGAAAAAAAAAAACCAGUAAUCCCUUAAUUAAUCAAGCGAUACCAACUAUCAAUUAAUUAAGUUGCCAUUUCUUUUAUUUGAAAAUGGAGGUAUGAAUGAAACAUAAGAUAGAAAAAUUUUCUUUAAAGUAAACAAUAAAAUAUCUAAAAAAAAUUAAUGUAGGGUGCACGUACGCGCGCUUAAUUACUUUAAUAAUUUAAUGCUAACUUAGGACGCUAAUUAAUUAACUUGACUAAGAACGGGGUCGAACCAGGAAUCAGCGAAUUCCCACAAAUCACCCAAAUAAUAUAUAUUUAUAUAUUAUAUAUAUAAUAAAAAUAAUAUUAAUAAUUUUAAAAAAAAAAUUAAAAAAAAAAAUCUCUGUCCCAGAAUUUCUAAGUCAACUACUUUGAAACUCGAACGAGCGUAUCUACGAUGUUGCGUUUAUCCGAGCACCCAAUUACUGGGCCCCACCGCUACUCUUAUCGGAUCCUUUCCAGUUUUACACACUCUCCCUCCUUCUCACUUUCCCAUCCCGAUUUUCUUGGGCCCCGCGUCAGCCGCAAACUCAAACUACCGACCAAAUAAAAUAUUUUCGUGGUCAAAUCCCGCGCCAAACAUGCUCUUCUCACCUCUAUGCAGCGUUUGGAGGAACCCAACCGGCCAAACCGUGUCCCUCUAUAUAUAUACAAGCGCUUCUCUCCGCAGCACCUAGAGAAUUGAGCGCUUCAAGUUAAUUUUGUAGCACUCUCCGAACAAGCUACAAAGGCUUAGAGUGCUUAGCAUUGGAGAACUAAUGGCUUUGAGCAUUAAUCCGGCGCUGAACCCCUCUAUCGUAUCCCGCGGGCUACGCUCGCAGCGGCUGCGGGUUUCUGCCUCGGCCGUGGCGGCGGCCCCGAGCAGCGUCGCGUCGCGGUCGGCGUCGGUGCCUGCGCUCGUCGUGGGAACGCAUGCGGUGCCCGGCGCGAAUGCGCGGCCGCCUCUGUCGAGCGUGUGGCGGGAGGUCCAGGGGGCCGACGACUGGGAGGAUAUGGUGGAGCCGCUGAGCCCGCUGCUGUGCGAGGAGAUUGUGAGGUAUGGAGAGUUCGUCGCCGCGUGCUACAAGGCCUUCGACCUCGACCAGGCCUCGCGGCGGUACCUCAAUUGCAAGUACGGCAAAGGAAGCAUGCUCCGCGAGGUCGGGAUGGGGGGCUCGGGCUAUGAGGUCACCAAGUACAUUUAUGCCACCCCGGACAUCAGCAUCCCCACGCAGACCGGCACGUGCUGCAGCCGCUGGAUCGGGUACGUGACCGUCGCCUCGGACGAUGCCGUCCGCCGCCUCGGGCGCCGUGACAUCCUCGUGGCUUUCCGCGGGACAGUCACCAACACUGAGUGGAUCGCCAACUUCAUGAGCUCGCUCACUCCGGCGCGACUAGACCCGCAUGACCCCCGGCCCGACGUAAAGGUCGAGUCCGGGUUCCUCAGCCUCUACACGUCCGACGACAGCACGUGCAAAUUCAGCGGCGGCAGCUGCCGCGAGCAGCUGCUCUCUGAGCUUGCGCGGCUCAUCCACAAAUAUAAAGACGAAGAAAUAAGCAUAACACUAGCUGGGCACAGCAUGGGGAGCUCUUUAGCGCUUCUUCUAGGCUACGACCUCGCGGAGCUCGGAUUGAACCGGGACGGAUCGAACCGGGAUAUACCGAUCACUGUUUACUCCUUCGGGGGUCCGAGGGUCGGGAACUUGGGGUUCAAGGACCGAUGCGAGGAGCUCGGCGUAAAGGUUUUGAGAGUAGUCAAUGUGAACGACCCCGUAACGAAGUUACCGGGGGUUUUCUUCAACGAGAACUUUAGAUUGCCUUGGAGCUGCUCGUGCUACACGCAUGUGGGAGUCGAGCUUGCACUUGACUUCUUCAAGAUGAAGAACCCUGCAUGCGUUCACGACUUGGAUGCAUAUAUCGGGUUGCUGAAGUCCUGGCCCAAGAUGGCAAAGAUGAAGAAGGAGGGGGCAGAUUUUAUAAGCCGCAUGAGGAAACUUCUGCGCGCUGAGAAGCUCGAAGCAUGGCUUCUGCUGGAGGCUUCACGUCAAGUAGGAAACUUGGUUCAAUCUCUCAGGAUUUGAUACUAAUAAGGUCCAUACAAUUUUUGCUUCUGCAGUAGAGAAGUUGCUUAAUUAUCCUUGUAAAUUUUUGUAGGGUAAUAGGGCACAGAAGAUUUUUUAUCUUUUUUGCUGCGAAGCUGUAUAUUUACUAAACCUCUGAAGAGAAAUUAAUACAAUGUCAUAGAAAAAGAUUACAAUACAUCGUUUCAGCCAAAUACAUUCUUGGAUUUUUUUUAAAUUUUUUUCCGAAACUCAUCAAUUGCAUCAUAGUGAGCAAAUAAUAAAACUAAAUGACUGACCGUCCCUAGCGCAAGUGAUAAAGGGCGUGGUGGUUGCUACCCGAGGUCCCAAAUUCAAAUUCUAAUUAAUUCACAUUUCUAACUAAGUUUGUUUCUAAAUGAAAUAAACGAAUCGGGUAGAAUACUAUGUACCUAUUUCUUUUUUUUAAAAAAAAAAAAACUAAAUGGAUGAUGCCUUUCUUGAGUUUUGAGAAUAUCAUCAAGGUUAUAUGUUUAUCAAAACGAGAGAAGUUGAUCAUGCAUCUGUUAAGGUUUUUGACUGCGUUAAAAAUUUUCACUGAGAGCUGAAGUUUGUAAUCGAGUUCCUUGUUUGAUAUUGCAACGUCCAUAAUAAAGACUUUAGAAACAAAAACUGUCCUUUUAUUUCCAUUAGAAAUACAUUAUCAUUUCGGAUCUUCAUGUCGGAGGAGUUGAUCAUCAAUCUAGGCUUUGAUAUUCGCUGAGAUUUGCAAUGAACAAUGAAAGAUAUCAAUGUAUAUAUGAACUCCUGGACUGAUGUUGUAAUAUGUCUUGAAUCCUUUGCCAAAAAACCUAUUUUCGUACGAAAAGAAAAUUGUAGAUUAUAUUGACUGGUGAAUCUCUAAUAUUGCUGAAUUCCUCGAGUAGCAAAUUGAGAGUUGUUCGCAUUGGAGGAAACACCCGGACCACAAUAUUAGAAGCUAGGGUUAACUUUGUUGCUUUAGUCUAAUCGUCGCUGUACGAAUCAAAGUGUACAGCAACUUAUGUUUGUCCUCUUUGUUACAUAUUCAACUAAUUGCAAAUACUGUUCUACUGCUAAAUGCUUCUAUUCCAUGUUUUCAUACUAUCAGUCUUCCAUUAUCGCUAUUCAAUAUUAGUCUUGCUGAACUUUCCAAGCUACCUCGGGUCUUGACAUUUGGUGCAUUACCACUAUGUUCACUGCAAUUUUCUUUUCUUUCUUUUUAUUUGCUAAUGAAAUCACUUAACAACUCUGCAAAUUGCCAUUAGACUUUUUGCAAGGCUCAUUGUCGGAUCGUUGGCGCUAAUCAUUAAUCCCAAAAGCUCGAGCGGUUAGAAAUACGCAAUCAAUUCACUUAAAGCGUACAGAUACAGUACCCACGGGUCUCGAUUGUGACUCAGCCCACAUAGCCUCCCGCCACAGGACAGAACGUUGGCCCAUUUAAGCCAACAAUCCCCCCUCCAGCACCUCUGGCUCUGAUAUCACUUGUCGGAUCGUUGGCCUAACCAUUAAUCCCAAAAACUCGAGCUGUUAGAAAUACGCAACCAAUUCACUUAAAACGUACAGAUACAGCGUCCAUGGGUCUUGAUUGUGACUCGGCCUAACCAGCCUCACGCCACUUCGAAUAUGACUCGGCCCAACCCAACCUCACGCCAUUUCAAACAUGACUCGGCCCAUAUGGCCUCCCACCACAGAGCAGGAUACUGGCCCAUAUAAGCCAAUACUCAUGACGUGGACUUGAAUUAAAUAGGAGAAAAUUAAUAAUGUUAGGAGUCUGACGUGACUCGAACUCAGGAUCUCCUACUCUGAUACCAUGUGAAUCAACAGUUAUACUUUAAAAGCUUAAUCUAUUAGAAAACAGUACGUGUUUGUAUAUUUUUACAAUGUGACACUUAUAUGCCACGAUUACAAGUUCAUACAGUCAUUACAUGAAUAGAGAGUUGUACUUGUGCCCAAGUGCAUUUGGAUUAUGAACUUAAUUUUGACUCAAUGCUUCUGAUCAUGCGAGUAUCUUUGCAUAUAUGGGAGAAGGAAAAAAAAAAAGAGAAAGGGAAGUGAAGUAUUUUUACAAUGUAAGGUUCGUUAUUUUCUUUCCAUCAACUUUUUGCCAUGUUCACUCGUAGAAGUAUUUCACUUUUUUAUUUGUAUAUACGACUCACAAGGAACGAAAAAGAAAAAUAAUUAAAAAAUAUUCUAUUUAAAAAAUAUAUAAGAUUGAUUUUUUAUAGUCAUGAAAACAUUCAUUACGUAGUACAACAUGCUUGCUCCUUUUUUUUAAAAUUUUGUUGCGUUCGACUAAUUAAGGAAUCAAUUUUGUUCUGCAUAUAGUUAACCUAUAGGAUUAUGACAUAGUCAAGUUUCCUAUUUAGCACCCAGUGGUACUUGUCAAUAGGUAAUGAAGGAUGAAACUUUAGUAGAAAGCUCCCAAACGAUGCCACAUUAAGGAGCCCCCAACUUGCUGCCACAUACUAAUUACGUAUAUUUACUACUAAAUUAAAAAAAAAAUUUAAAUUUUAGAAGGAACUAUUAAAAUUUUUGGAUAGAAAUAAAAAUGACAUGCGACGAUAGAUUAAAGUUUCUUAAUGAGGCGUAGUUGGGAAGCUCCCACUGAAAAAUUUUUUUUUCCCAGUAACAGAGUUGAACCCAGACGCCAGCUAUAUGUGCAUGCAACGGGGGUGAUUAUAUCAUGUAUAUACUGUCAUGUAUACGUCUCACUUUGUAUGUUGACCUUUUUCUAUCGCGCUAACGAGAACCAAACCUUUCAUACACGUCUCCCUUAGGUACUAAUCUUUGACUAAAUUAAUCAUCUGCUUGGUCAAACCUCUGCGUUGACAAUCCACUCCUGUUAUCCCAUGCUAGACACGUUGCUACCCAUCUUUACGUGUCUUGCUUUUUCUAUGUUGAUCCUUUUUAGAUAUAUACGUACAUGCAUCGAUACACCAAAAUGAGUGUUGCAAUUAAGGAAAGUGAAAUGGCAUAUAUAUAUAUAUAUAUAUAUAUAUAUAUGUAAUUAUAUAUAUAUAUAUAUAUAUAGAACUAGGUACUAUACUAUCGGUAGCACGGAAGCGCUGUGCUACCAAGUUGUUUUUCGAUGAUGCGGCUUCCAAAUUGACGAUCGACUCCGUUAGACUUGAUCUAAUACACUAUUGAAAAUAUUUAGAAAUUAAAUUUCAUAAUUUUCGAUAUAUCAUUUGCCUAUCAAACAAAGUAGUCUAAAAUUGAACGCGCUCUGAAAAUAAAAAUCUCAUUGAAAAUGAUGAUAAAAUGAUUUAAAUUCAAGAUCAGAUAUAUUGAUCUUACUCUAAAUAGUGAAAUAGAAUUUUUUAUAAAUUUUCAUCGCAUUUGGAUUGUUUUACACCUUUAAACUCACAAACACACCACAUCGGCCCUUAAAAUUGUCAAUUUUGAGGAUCUUUUGAUCACUAGUCAAAUGAUGUUCGAAAAAAUCUGAAAUUUAUUUCCAAAUACUUUCAAUAGUGUAGAUCAAGUCUAACGGAGCCGAUCGUCGAUUUGGAAGCGCAUCAUCGAAACAACUUGGUUUUAUUUUUAACAACGGAGCCGCUCCGUAGCUACCGAUAGCAUUGUAGUAGCCAGGACUUAUAUAUAUAGGUAAAUUACAGAAAACCCGCCGUGUAAUAACCCGCUUUUUCACUUUCCUCCCUACAUUUAGAAAACCUUACACUUUGCCCCUUGUAAAAUGAAAAAUUGGCACUUCACCCCUCCGUUAGGGUUCGUCAGGAGGCUGUCUUAAAAUAUAUUUUUUUACGAAAAUAGCCCCUCUGCUUCUCUGAUGCUUCGCUACCCUCCGUCGCCGCUUCGCCGCCUCGCACCUCGCCGUCCUCCACUGCUUCGCCCUCGCCCACAACUGCUUCGUCUCUCCGCCGCCUCGCCUCGGCCUCGGUUGUGUCCCUGCCUACCUUCUUCCUUCAACACCCAUCUUGUUAUGUUCCUUACUGGUGUCGAAAUCGAUGGGCGGGGACGAUGUAGUGAGAGGAGAAGGGCAGGGAGCAAGGUAGAGAAAAGAAUUGAGAAGAAUCGUGGCGAUUGAGCGGUGAAAUAGCGGCGGAUCGAAGGGGCGGCUGAAAGAAGCUCAGGAAGAGAAGACAAAUGGCGGAGGGACAAAAUGGUCAUUUUACACUCACCGUAACCCCCUGUGAAACAUUUUCAAUUUAUACAAAGGGGGGCAAAGUGUAGGUUUUAAAUGUCAGGGAGGGGAAGUGAAAUGUGAAAAAGCGGAUUAUUACAGGCGCGGUUUUCUGUAAUUUAGCAUUAUAUAUAUAGAGACGAGCGAGAGAGAGAGAGAGAGAGAGUGUCCUGUGUAAGCUUGUAUACACUACACAGAGAUCAGGAGGGAGAGAGAGAGUCUCCAGGGUUGUGAAGGAGAUAUAUGGAGCUAUCACUAUAAAUGAACGUGUCCUGUGUAAGCUUGUACACACUACACAGAGAUCAGGAGGGUGCCUCCAAAGCAACAGCUGGAUAAAUUUGAUGGUUGAUGCUAAGCAGAUUUUCAUAUAUAUGGAGCUUUCAAUGUGAAGUCCUCGGUGCAAUUAGAAAUGGUCAAAUCGAUGUCAGAGGAAUAGUUAAUUGGAAAAUUCGAUAAUAUCUGUUAAAAUGUUCAAUGUAAACAAGAUACGGUAGAAAAUUAAGAAGCCGCAGCAAUAAAUGACUUCCUACUGGGUUAAUUUAGUAUAGCAAACUGUGCUUACGGAGAAAUUAACUUUGCGAAAAGUUCACAAACAUACACUGCAGUUAAUUUAAGGGGUUGGAUUUGGUCUAAACCAAUAUCUCGACAAUUAGAUAGCGUAUCAAGUUAUGAAAUUGACAUGUAGGAGGAUUUUGCGUUUGAGGAACCCAUCUAAAUCACGACGCGAAAUAUUAUUUUUUUAUAAGACACCAUGGCAUUGUAUGGAUUUUGAAUGUGACACUUUAGAGAAUUUAAAACAGUGCUAUAUAUAUAUAAGAUAUAAUUGAUGGGUUAAAACUUCUUAAUUUGACUAUAAUAUUUUAGGCCGUGGUUAGAUCAAAAAAAAUUAAAAGGGUUCAGUGUGUGAUAGAGUUAGAAUAGUUCUAGAAUGAAUAACCCUUCUGAAAAACGGAGUGUCACAUUAAAUUAUAUGUAUAAUUUGAAAUUGGUCAAUCGAUCAGGUGGUGCUUUAUGAGAUAUAUAUGUUGCGAUUAGCCUAUGUUGACCGGCUACAGAAUUAAGUGUUGUCCAUUAAUUGCCCUGCACAACAUCUUAUUUCACCCCUUAUUUAAUAUUUCAUGCAUAAUAUACUAUAUUUAUAUAAUAUAGGAGUCAAACAAAGCUUCAAGCUCUCUUGUUGUGUUCGGACUACAAUUGAUCGUUCAUAUCAUAAAAUACUUAUUAUGCACUCCACAUAUAUUUUGACCAUUUUUACGCUGCCCCACUUUAGGACUUUGGUCUAGACGUUAUGUAAUUGAAGCACACAACUUCACUUUAGAUGAUCUAUCACUUGUUGUUAAUGAUCGAUUUACAUCGAUAUGUAAUUGAUUCUUUGCAUUUGAUUAUCUAAUAUUGCACUUCUAUAUAUAUUCUUUUCGAUUUGAUACCAUUUAAUCUUCUAUUAAUUGUUUUGGAAUAGCGACAUGAUUUCUUUAUUUUUUUCAAUUUUGUUUUUCAUUUCCAUUAAUUUCAAAAAAUUAUCAUUUGCUUUUUCAAAUUUCACUUUAGUACGUACGUUAGGUAAAGAGUAAAGAUCAUUUAGACAAACUCUUUUCACGACAAUUAGUUAAUUCAUGCACAAAUCUAGUGCAAGAUUUAUCGCUAAUGAACUAGUUGAUGUGUCGAAAUCAUGCUCAUUAAAAAAUUAUGUAGCGUCCAUCGAUCAUGCAGAUCCACUAUAGAUAGACCAUUAAUCGAGCCACGGGUCGACUUAAAGACAAUCGUUUACUUUAAGUGCAAAUGCACCCAACUCAGACUCAGAUCCAACUAGGGUCUAUGGACCUACACCAAACAUAAGUGUACAUGUAGCUAGGGAUCGACCUAAGCUUAAUAAUAUUAUCUGUUCACUGCAUUAGUUAUCUAGUGCAAGUGCACAUCUAUAUACAUACACCAUUAAGAUCAAGAUCCACUCUCCAUCCUAUCUUAGAUAUUUAAUCUCUGUCGACUAUUAAUUUACUAUCAUGAAUUUCUCUAAUUGAAAAUUAGAUGAUUAAAUCUUUAUUACGACAUGAAAUAAAAAGUAUAGUGUGGUGCAUAGAUAUAUAGAUCCAUUAGAUGUGAACAAUAAUUUCUCUUCCUUCCCGCAUCUACUCCAUAUUCACUGACCAUUUUUACUCUUAUCUUAUUUUCACAUUAAUGUCCUAUCUAUCGAAUAUAUUAAAGAUAUAAAGUACCAUUUCGACCUUUUACAAUUUUAGUUUUUAGAUUAAUUGGUUGUUCGUACAAUAUUUCCAUAGGAUGUUCACAUUAUUAAUUGUUCUCUAGCAGCAUAAGCGACUAGAUCCCUUAAUCUCCUUUCCUUUCCCACUGAUCCCUUGCCAAUAUGGAACUCAACGGCACUCCAUUAAUUAGCACAACGAGCUUAAUUAAUUAACUACCUAAGUAUCUGAUUAAUUAAUUAAUUAAUUCCCCAUCCGUCUCUGUCCAUCGUAAUGUUCAUACUCCCAGCAUUCAAAAACUUGAAAGCGACCGUUAUUAGGGUGGCCCCCUUGCCGUGCCAAAUUAGUGAAUUUAGCAAAUGUCAACUCGGUCACACAUUAAUCAUCUUCUUCAUUACAUAUAUACAUCUACAUAUAUUCAAGAUAAAUGUGGUCCACCGAUCCUUAUGUAGGUAGAGAUGGCGAAAGGUGACUUGUGAUAUGUACUGAGACAGAGAGAGAAAAAUAGAGAUAGCGACAGUAAAUAAAUAUAUAUAUGUAUAUACUUCGACUAUUAUACAAUUAAUAAUACUAAAUAUUUGAUGCUAUCAAAUUUUUCGCCGUAAAUUUGCUCUUUAAUUAUUUCUUUCCAUUAGAUAAUAUUAUUCAAUCAAUCAAUCAUUAAAUUCUAAGUUAGUUCUUAAUUCAAUAACCAAAAAUCUAAUAAUAUGGAUAACUUAAUAUUAUUAAUAGUAUGAUAAUUUAGUUUUAUACGUACAUACACACUGUACGCACUACCGACCAUAAGAGAACACGUGCAAGUAGGAUGUUGUUGACCGUUCCAAAACGCAAACGUUGGCACUGUUCGCGCCAAAUGACGUCGCUCGCUUCCCGCGAGCAGUGGAUGUCGCGUCAGCAAUGAGCAAAGCAACCGGCCAAUCAUGCGAAGAGUCUACAACGAACGAACCGCACGUACGGAUGGUCGGUACUCACGUGUAAAUCCCCCGUCCAAUUUAUUUUAGAAAAAUACUUUUAGGGGUCAUCUGUUCCUCCACAAAAUUAACCAAAAUAUUAUUACAGUAUGAAAAAUAUAUUUUAGAAAAACUUCGAAUACUACCGUUGUAGUUUCGUACUUUUUUACUUUAGUACUCUGUUGUUUAAAGUUUAUCAAUUUAGUAGCCUGUAGUUUCGUACUUUCUCACUUUAGUAUUCUGUGGUUUAAAUUACAUCAAUUUGCUACCUUGUGGUUUCAUUUUUCUCUUUUCGUCAGCUCCUCUGUUAAUAUUUUAUUAAAUUAUAUACAAAAGCCUUUAAAUACCCUAUCUAGGUUUAUCGAAUAUUUGCUUUAUUAGUACCCUUUAGUUUUAAUUUUGUCAUUGAUUUUUUUUUUCCUCCGUCAAUAUUUCGUUAAAUUAUAUACAAAAAACUUCAUAUAUCCUACCUAAGUUUAUCGAAUAUUCAUUUUAGUACCCUUUAAUUUUGACUUUGCCACUGAUUUAACGAAAAAAAUUAGUAAAAUAGAUAAUAAAAAGAGAAAUAAAACCACAGGGUACUAAUUUGAUACACUUUAAACCACAGGGUACUAAAGUGAGAAAAUACGAAACCAUAUGGGCAAACUUGAUAUACAUUAAACCACAGGGUACUAAAGUGAAAAAGUGUGAAACUACGGAGGGGUAUUUGAAGUUUACCCUAUAUUUUUGUUCAUUUAGUUUGAUGAAAACUUAAUUUUUCAUAAAAUUAUUUUUUCAGAUUUAGAAAAAAAUAAAAUUUUUAUUUUUCGUUGUUUUUGGGCGAAAAAUGAAAACUCUCUGCAAGAGAAUCACACCAUUAUAUAAUAUUUUAUUUAUAAAUAUAUAUUUAUUUAUUAUAUACUAUAUUAUAUAUGUGUUAUUAUAUAUUAUAUAGUAUAAUUUUGAAUAUAUUUAAAUUAUAAAUAUAGAUGAUGAUGAUGAUAUAUAUAUACAUAGAUAUAAAUUUUAAUUAUAAUAUCUAUAAUAUGGUAAAUAUAAAUAGAAAAAAUUAUAUAAAUUUUUUUUUUUAUUUAAAUUUGUUUCUUUCUACUAAACAAGUAUGAUUGGAAAAAAAAAAAAUUCUACAAAUCAAACGAAAGAGCGUAAAUUUUUUUUCCCACUGAAAAUUAUUUUUUAUAGUUUAUAAUAUUUAGAGUAUAAUAAAUAUAAUAUCACGUCAUCAUCAGUAUUGUAAUAAUGUACCUUCUAGGAUACGUGUAGCAGUAUUCUUCAUUUUAGGCUAAAUUGCUUUUUGGAUCCUUACAUUUUUCAUCUUCAUAUAAUUUAAUUUAUUAUAAUUUUGUACUAAAAAUUUUUAAAUUAUUGUAGUUGAUUAGUUUUACGGUUUAAUUUAUUCGAAUUUGAAGUUUUUGGCGGGUACGUAGUUGCGUACACAAUAGACAAAUAUCGAGGGCAACUAAGUACAAAUUCGAUCACAAAAAGCCAAUUUAUAAAAUGUAUGUCAAAUUAAACAUUCGUAGUUGUCCAAAAAAAAAGACAAAUAUGCAGGCCAAUUAAUAGAUGUAUAGUACAUUUGUCACGAUCACAUAGGGCCUCUCUGCGAGAAAAAAAAAAAAAAAAAAAAAAAAAAAACUAAUUAUUAAGGCUAAUUUGUAAAUAAAAAAAAAUCUACGGGUUUUACAAUUAAAAAUAGACUUUUUUUUUAUUUUGUAUAUUAUAUCUAAAUUUUUAAUAAACUUAUCAAAAUAUUCUUAUUCCUCUUUUUAUUUUUCUUCUCUCUUUCUUUUUUCUUUUCCCUGUCUUCUUCUCGCGGUCCAUUCUGAUGUUUUCGUCUCUCGCUUUCUCUCCCUCCUCCUCCUUCUCCUUCUUCUCCUCUAUUGGCUCUAUGUCAACGCUGCACACAUUUCUCCUAUCUAGUCCACGUCUCCACCUCCGACGUUGGCGGUGACGAGACCGGCUAGAAUAUGGCAAAAUCGUGGAUGUGAGGCUGCGAUGGAGGCGUGGCUAUAGAUGACAACAGCAAUGUCGUAAGAUUUGGGGAUGACGGAAAGGAUGAGCGCAUCGGGAGCGUCGAGACGGAGCCUGCUGCAGCAGCAAAAGUCAGAAGAGAAGACACGGUAGCAAAAACAGAUACGAACAAGAGGAGAAAAAAAUAAAAAUGAAAAAAGAAAAAAUAUAUAUUUUUUCUCCCGAGAGAGCCACCGUCCACGGCAACCACUAUAGAAAAAGUCAAGAAGUAAAGAAAAAAGAAAAAAAAAAAGAAAAGAAGAAAGAUUGUACUAUUUAAAAUUAGGAAAAACUUCAAAAAACCCCCCUGUGGUUUCGUAGUUUCUCACUUUGCCCCCCUGUGGUUUAAAAUGUAUUAAUUUGCCCUCCUGUGGUUUCUUUUUUCUCUUUUUCUUAUCAAUUUCAUUGUUUUUUUUCUUAAAUCAGUGAUAAAGUUAAAAUUAAAGGGUACUAAAGUGAAUAUUUGAUAAAUCUAGAUGUGUAUCUGAAGUUGUUUGUAUAUAAUUUAAUGAAAUAUUAACGAAAAAGCUACCGAAAAGAUAAAAAAGAAACCACAGGGGGACAAUUUGAUACAUUUUAAACCACAGGGGGAUAAAGUGAGAAACUACGAAACCAUGGGGGGUUUUUGAAGUUUUCCCUUAAAAUUAAGUUGUAUCAUGUAAAACUAGUGAAGGGGCCCGCGCUUUGCAGCGGAUAGAAAUUGUAAUAGUAAUUAAUAAUAAAAAAAUAUUAAACAUUCUCUUGUGUAUCUUACUUGAUAUAUCCACCAAAUGUCAUGGCAGAAAGGGAAAGUGGACGCGCAUUAGUGAGAGAGAGGGAGCGAGCGAGGGAAGCAAAAGAUUAGAGAUAGAAAAUUGAUGAAUAGAUUGGAAAUGAAAAAUUAAAAGUCUGAUGGAGGGAAGGAAAAUGACCAUAAUGAAUAAUUGGAGAUAGAGAGGUUAGGAUUGUAAGAUAGUAGUGAGAUCAUUUAAGCAUACUAAUUGAAAGUUUGGUAGUGGAAUCGUUUGCAUUAAUUGAAAGUAUAGUGGAGGGAAUGAAAAGGGUCAUAAUGAAUAAUUGUAGAUAGAAACGGUAAAAUGGUAGAUGAUAGUGGGACCAUUUAAAUAUAUUAAUUGAAAGUUUUGUUAGUGGAACCAUUUAAAUACAUUAAUUGAAAGUUUUGUAAGUGGAACCGUUAAAAUGUACAUUGAAAGUUUAAUGAGGGGAAGAAGAAGAGUCACAUUCUAGUGAGGGUGAAGGAAAACUUGCCAUGUGGCAACAAACAUUGGGAAUUCAUAUAAGUUAAUAGAUUCUUUGAGAUUAAGUUAUAUUAAAAAAAGGGUUAUUUGCAUACAGGUCCCUGCAAACAUAGUGAAUUACGAAAAUAUCCCUACAAAACGGAAACUCCAUAAGUUGUCCUUGCAAAAGUCCUAAGUUAUGCAGAUAUGUCCCUGCCGUCCAGAUCUGUUAGAAAUUUUUCGUUAACCACGGUUAAAAUACUUAACCAUGGUUAAUUAUAGUAUAAAUUGACGUGUUUACCCUUCUUCCUCUUCCUUCUCUUCCUCUUCUUUCUUCUUCGUCGCCGGCGAGGAGAUGCGGCGGCGGCGGCGACGGCGGCGGCGACGACGAACCCUCUUACUUUUCCUCUUCCCUCUUCCUCUUUUCCCUUCUUCUUCCUUCUUCUUUCUUCCUCUUCCUCUUCCCUCUUCUUCGUCACCGGCGAGGGAGAAGAAUCUCGUCGGGGUCGGCCUCCGAAAGGCGGGCAAGAAGCUCGAGGACGUUGUUGUCGACAAGGGCGGCGACGAGGGCGUGCGCGGGGUCGUCGUGGUCGCCGAGGACGUCGGUGUCGGUGAGGUCGGUGAGGAGGGAGACGACGUCGACGGCGAUGUCGGCGAUGUCGUGGCCGAGGAGGCCAACGAGGGAGAGGACGGCGUUGAGGGCGACGAGCUCCGAGUAGAGAGCUCCGGUGCCCCGGCGUUCUUCCCUCUUCUUCGUCGCCGGCGAACCCGACCCCGCGCCGCUGCCGCCGUCGUCCGCUUCGAUGAUCCGAAGAGGAAGAGAAAGAGAAGGGAAGAGGAAAACUUUUGGAGGGAUAUAUUUGUGAGGGUAAAAUGGUCAUUUCACGAAUCCACUGUUAAAAAAUAAAUAGAUCACUAACGGAUGUUAACCGGAGGGACAUAUCUGCAUAACUUAAGACUUUUGCAGGGACAACUUAUGGAGUUUUCGUUUUGCAGGGAUAUUUCCGCAAUUGGCUAUGUUUGCAGGGAGCUGUAUGCAUUUGACCCUAAAAAAAAAAGGUAAGUCGCACUAUUUGAGAAGUUAUUACUGCAAUAAUAUUUAGAUUUAGUAACAUUUAUAAAUAGUGCUAAAUUAAUGAGUAAGAAGUGUAACUCAACCUAAUUGGAAUACUUAAAAUUUAGUGUUGCUUAUGUCCAUAUUAGUGAAUCUUUUAACAAUAUAUAAAGAGAGUCUUGCUAAUGCUGAGAAAUAGUAAUAAUUAACAAAUAUUACUACAUGAAAAGUUUAAAAAAAAUAUUUAUUAAAUAAUGGUACAUAUUGUUUAAUUAAUUCUUGCAUUAACAUAGCUAUUAUUUUCUAAAUUAAAUGAAAACGUCUUAUUACUUAUAGCUAGAAUUAUAGCUUUUGAUAUUAACUAAUUAAAUUAGUAUUAAUUUUUUAUUAAGUAUUAUAAUUAUAGGCAAUAAUAAUCAUGUUACUAAAGAAUCACAUAUAAUAGUAUUUUGAAUUAAUUAUUUGUAAAAGUGUUCAUUACACAUAGCAAUAAUUUUUUUAUUCGUGUUGCUAAAUGUAUUUGUGCUAAUAUUUAGAUACAAAUAUUGCUAAAUACAAAUUACACAAACAUUACUUAUUAAAUGUUGCAACAUUUAGCAAAAUUUUGGUGCAAAUUAAUCUCAAACAGCGCAACUUUUUCUUUUUCUUCUUUCUUUUGUAACUUUUGGUCUUUCCUGUAGUGGUCAUAGCACAUGCUGACCUUCCUAAUAUAAUAAAAAUAUAUAUUUUUUUUUAUUAUUUAUUUUUUCUUCUCUUCUAUACUCUAUAUUAUUUUUUGCUAUCGCGCCUCCUCCCUCGGCCUUUUGCUAAAAUAGCUGCCCCUGUCCAGUUGCUCUUUUCUUGUCCUCCACAAAUUUUGCGGCAAUUUCAUUGCCGUCCAUGACCAUGCGCUACACACAACCUCACCUCUACAAUUUGUGCCAUAUCUGAAUCUACGUCGCCACUUCCAAGGUCAAUGGAGGUGUGGGUGAGGAAUGCAGAGGAGCACAACAUCGACGUGUGGGCGGCGGAGGAGAAGAGGUAGCGAAAAAGAAGAAGAAGAAAGGGAUGGCGAGGAAAAGGAAGAAAAGAGGGAGAAAAAAGAACGAAAGAGAGAAAGGAAUGACAAAAACAGAUAAUAGUAUUUUAGUCAGUUUAUUGAAAAUUCAUAUCUAAUUUAUUAAAUUUAAAAAAAUAGCAUAUUUUUUUGAAAACACAAACUAGUAAAUUUUUAAUACAAAUUGAUAAUUAAUUAACUGUUAAUUGGCGUGUAGUUGCCUGAAAAGAGAGCAAUAUAAAUGCCUGUUAGUGUACAUACAUUGUGUGCUACAUUAAUUACGACAACAAAGUACCUGUAUGAAAAUUAAAAGUGGUCUAUUCAAUCAUCUACUAUGCUUUAAGAUUCAUAUAUUAAAUAUAUAUCAGACAAACAAUUGAUUGGACGGUCUUUUUCUGGGAAUCAAUAUUUUUCAUAUAAUUUCUUUCUAUCAAAAAUCAUAUUAUUGCUUCAUGAUCCACAUACAUAUAGAUUAAUAACAAAUGUUAUAUAUAUGCACAGAAAUAUUAACAAUACAUAAAAUUGCACUUUGAAAAACUUAUGGUAAUACUUUUAUUACAUUGUUUUUAUUUUUUUCUCCCGUAAUUUAGAAUAGAGAAAAGAUCUCAUAUUCUUAUUUAUUGAAAAUAAAUAUUAAAAGCACCGUUCUCAAGUGGUUGUUUACUAUUUUUAACAUGAUAUCGGAGCAUCAUUAAACUCUUAUUAUUAUUUUUUUAUUUAAUUCAAGUUCAUGCUUUACCCUAUCAAAGAGUUUCAAGCCUAAAUGUCGGGGAAGCAUUGAAUAUAAAUAUUAAAAAUAACAAUAUCCUAUAAUAGCUUAAGUUAUUGAAAAGCAACAAUUGUUAUUUUUAUAUGUGACAAAAAUGAUGAUCACUUGUUUCUGACAAAAUGUAAAGGCAUAAAUUAGCACAGCUAGCCUAAAUCUUGAUAAUUGGUAUUCGAGAUCUCAAGUUCAAAGCCUAAAUACUUCACUCUCUAUCCAUAUUUAUUUCUUAAAAAUAAACGGAGUAUAUAAAUAGCAUACUACAUAUCUCUAAAAAAAUCAGCAAACAAUGUUCAUUGAAUAUACCACUAAUCAAACUGAUCUCGCCAUAUUUAUGAUCGACCUCAACCUCUCAAUCAACCCUAGUUUUGGGCCAAGCUAAGUUUAACCUUUUUAGUUAAAGCUUGCAAUUAAGUACCUAUAGUUUAAUUAGAAAUCAAGUUCCUCUAGUUUUUACCAACUGUUCCUGGAGCAAAUGGCAAAAGGCUUGGUGGUUGGUACCUGAGACCCAAAUUCUACUCCUAGUUAAUUCACAUUUCCAGCUAAGUUUAUUUCUAAAUGAAAUAAACAAAGCGGGCAGCGUGCUACCCGUCUCUCUCUCAAAAAAAAGUUCCUCUAAUUUUGUAAUAAAAAAAGAAAGAAAAUCACAAUUAAUAGGC